Arachis ipaensis is the source of this 100-nucleotide non-coding RNA. Lineage: Eukaryota; Viridiplantae; Streptophyta; Magnoliopsida; Fabales; Fabaceae. The record is from RefSeq and is a predicted model, not a curated record.
UUUUUUUAUAAAAGGUGUAGAGUAAAGUAUUGUUUUUGUCCCCAACGUUUGGAGUAAGUCCUAAAAUUGUCCCUAAUGUUUCAUUCGUCCUAUUUUUGUC